RNAcentral lists this ribosomal RNA (739 nucleotides) under uncultured bacterium. Its description in RNAcentral is "bacterial SSU rRNA". It matches the Rfam family "Bacterial small subunit ribosomal RNA", at positions 16 to 754 of the family's 1533-position model. The record is from RNAcentral.
AUCCUGGCUCAGAUUGAACGCUGGCGGCAUGCCUUACACAUGCAAGUCGAACGGUAACAGGUCUUCGGAUGCUGACGAGUGGCGAACGGGUGAGUAAUACAUCGGAACGUGCCCGAUCGUGGGGGAUAACGGAGCGAAAGCUUUGCUAAUACCGCAUACGAUCUACGGAUGAAAGCGGGGGAUCUUCGGACCUCGCGCGGACGGAGCGGCCGAUGGCAGAUUAGGUAGUUGGUGGGAUAAAAGCUUACCAAGCCGAUGAUCUGUAGCUGGUCUGAGAGGAUGAUCAGCCACACUGGGACUGAGACACGGCCCAGACCCCUACGGGAGGCAGCAGUGGGGAAUUUUGGACAAUGGGCGCAAGCCUGAUCCAGCCAUGCCGCGUGCAGGAUGAAGGCCUUCGGGUUGUAAACUGCUUUUGUACGGAACGAAAAGGUGCCUUCUAAUAAAGGGCGCUCAUGACGGUACCGUAAGAAUAAGCACCGGCUAACUACGUGCCAGCAGCCGCGGUAAUACGUAGGGUGCAAGCGUUAAUCGGAAUUACUGGGCGUAAAGCGUGCGCAGGCGGUUUUGUAAGACAGAGGUGAAAUCCCCGGGCUCAACCUGGGAACUGCCUUUGUGACUGCAAGGCUGGAGUGCGGCAGAGGGGGAUGGAAUUCCGCGUGUAGCAGUGAAAUGCGUAGAUAUGCGGAGGAACACCGAUGGCGAAGGCAAUCCCCUGGGCCUGCACUACGCUCUGCAC